This 490-nucleotide ribosomal RNA is filed under the name Ruminococcus sp. Its description in RNAcentral is "bacterial SSU rRNA". It matches the Rfam family "Bacterial small subunit ribosomal RNA", at positions 989 to 1478 of the family's 1533-position model. Lineage: Bacteria; Bacillati; Bacillota; Clostridia; Eubacteriales; Oscillospiraceae. The record is from RNAcentral.
CCUCUGACCGCUCUUUAAUCGGAGCUUUCCUUCGGGACAGGGGAGACAGGUGGUGCAUGGUUGUCGUCAGCUCGUGUCGUGAGAUGUUGGGUUAAGUCCCGCAACGAGCGCAACCCCUAUCCUCAGUAGCCAGCAAGUUGAGUUGGGCACUCUGUGGAGACUGCCAGGGAUAACCUGGAGGAAGGCGGGGAUGACGUCAAAUCAUCAUGCCCCUUAUGAUUUGGGCUACACACGUGCUACAAUGGCGUAAACAAAGGGAAGCGAGAUUGUGAGAUGGAGCAAAUCCCAAAAAUAACGUCCCAGUUCGGACUGUAGUCUGCAACCCGACUACACGAAGCUGGAAUCGCUAGUAAUCGCGGAUCAGAAUGCCGCGGUGAAUACGUUCCCGGGUCUUGUACACACCGCCCGUCACACCAUGGGAGUCAGUAACGCCCGAAGUCAGUGACCUAACUGCAAAGAAGGAGCUGCCGAAGGUGGGACCGAUAACUGG